UCGAGGGGCAGCACGGUGUAGCAAUACACUGGUGGCGACCGGCGCACGGGUGAGUAACACGUGUGCAACCAACCCCGUACCGGGAGAUAACCCGCGGAAACGUGGACUAACAUCCCAUGAUACUCGAGAGCCGCAUGGCUCUAGAUUUAAAAUUCCGGUGGUACGGGACGGGCACGCGCGACAUUAGGUAGUUGGCGGGGUAACGGCCCACCAAGCCGACGAUGUCUAGGGGUUCUGAGAGGAAGGUCCCCCACACUGGAACUGAGACACGGUCCAGACUCCUACGGGAGGCAGCAGUGAGGAAUAUUGGUCAAUGGGCGAGAGCCUGAACCAGCCAAGUCGCGUGAGGGACGAAUGGUCUAUGGCCUGUAAACCUCUUUUGUCAAGGAAGAAUAAAUCGCACGGGUGCGAUCUUGCCAGUACUUGACGAAUAAGCAUCGGCUAACUCCGUGCCAGCAGCCGCGGUAAUACGGGGGAUGCGAGCGUUAUCCGGAUUUAUUGGGUUUAAAGGGCGCGUAGGCGGGACGUCAAGUCAGCGGUAAAAGACUGCAGCUAAACUGUAGCACGCCGUUGAAACUGGCGCCCUCGAGACGAGACGAGGGAGGCGGAACAAGUGAAGUAGCGGUGAAAUGCAUAGAUAUCACUUGGAA
Molecule: ribosomal RNA, 650 nt
Filed under: uncultured bacterium
Lineage: Bacteria
Description: bacterial SSU rRNA
Rfam family: Bacterial small subunit ribosomal RNA
Source: RNAcentral